ACGGAAGGCAGCAGUGAGGAAUAUUGGUCAAUGGACGGAAGUCUGAACCAGCCAAGUCGCGUGAAGGAUGAAGGUAUUAUGUAUUGUAAACUUCUUUAGCAGUGGAGUAAUAAGGGGAUCGCGAUCCCUGAUGCAAGUACACUGAGAAUAAGGAUCGGCUAACUCCGUGCCAGCAGCCGCGGUAAUACGGAGGAUCCGAGCGCUAUCCGGAUUUAUUGGGUUUAAAGGGUGCGCAGGCGGCUUUUUAAGUCAGUGGUUAAAUCGUGACGCUCAACGUCAUCACGCCAUUGAUACUGGAGAGCUUGAUUGCGGUCGAGGUUUGCGGAAUUCGUUGUGUAGCGGUGAAAUACAUAGAUAUGACGAAGAACACCGAUUGCGUAGGCAGCAGACCAGGCCGUAAAUGACGCUCAUGCACGAAAGUGCGGGGAUCGAACAGGAUUAGAUACCCUGGUA
Molecule: ribosomal RNA, 453 nt
Filed under: uncultured Porphyromonadaceae bacterium
Lineage: Bacteria; Pseudomonadati; Bacteroidota; Bacteroidia; Bacteroidales; Porphyromonadaceae
Description: partial 16S ribosomal RNA
Rfam family: Bacterial small subunit ribosomal RNA
Source: RNAcentral